AAAAACAUAACCUUUAGCCAAACAAAUAUUAAAGGCAACGCCUGCCCAGUGAACAAUUAAACGGCCGCGGUAUCCUAACCGUGCAAAGGUAGCAUAAUCAUUUGUCUACUAAUUAUAGACCUGUAUGAAAGGCAAAAUGAGGGUCUAACUGUCUCUUAUAAUAAAUCAAUUAAACUGAUCUCCUAGUAAAAAAGCUAGAAUAACACCAUAAGACCAGAAGACCCUGUGAAGCUUAAACUAAACUAUUAAACCAUAUAAUAAAUACUUUCGGUUGGGGCGACCUUGGAAAAAAACAGAACUUCCAAGACCCAGCACAGCUGAUUAUUGAACCAAGUUACUCCAGGGAUAACAGCGCAAUCUUCUUCAAGAGCCCAUAUCAAAAAGAAGGUUUACGACCUCGAUGUUGGAUCAGGACAUCCUAAUGGUGCAGCCGCUAUUAAGGGUUCGUUUGUUCAACGAUUAACAGUCCUACGUGAUCUGA
RNAcentral lists this ribosomal RNA (481 nucleotides) under Pantherophis emoryi. RNAcentral's name for it is "partial 16S ribosomal RNA". It matches the Rfam family "Bacterial large subunit ribosomal RNA", at positions 1809 to 2608 of the family's 2925-position model. Lineage: Eukaryota; Metazoa; Chordata; Lepidosauria; Squamata; Colubridae. The record is from RNAcentral.